UAUGGCUCAGGACGAACGCUGGCGGCGUGCCUAACACAUGCAAGUCGAGCGAGGAGAUCCUUCGGGAUGAUCCUAGCGGCGGACGGGUGAGUAACACGUGGGCAACCUGCCUCAUAGAGAGGAAUAGCCUUCCGAAAGGGAGAUUAAUACCUCAUAACAUUGCAGUUUCGCAUGGAACAGCAAUUAAAGGAGUAAUCCGCUAUGAGAUGGGCCCGCGGCGCAUUAGCUAGUUGGUGAGGUAACGGCUCACCAAGGCGACGAUGCGUAGCCGACCUGAGAGGGUGAUCGGCCACAUUGGGACUGAGACACGGCCCAGACUCCUACGGGAGGCAGCAGUGGGGAAUAUUGCACAAUGGGGGAAACCCUGAUGCAAGCAACGCCGCGUGAGUGAUGACGGCCUUCGGGUUGUAAAGCUCUGUCUUCAGGGACGAUAAUGACGGUACCUGAGGAGGAAGCCACGGCUAACUACGUGCCAGCAGCGGC
RNAcentral lists this ribosomal RNA (483 nucleotides) under uncultured bacterium. RNAcentral's name for it is "bacterial SSU rRNA". It matches the Rfam family "Bacterial small subunit ribosomal RNA", at positions 18 to 518 of the family's 1533-position model. The record is from RNAcentral.